Molecule: ribosomal RNA, 412 nt
Filed under: uncultured bacterium
Lineage: Bacteria
Description: bacterial SSU rRNA
Rfam family: Bacterial small subunit ribosomal RNA
Source: RNAcentral
ACUCCUACGGGAGGCAGCAGUGGGGAAUAUUGGACAAUGGGCGAAAGCCUGAUCCAGCAAUGCCGCGUGAGUGAUGAAGGCCUUAGGGUUGUAAAGCUCUUUUACCGGGAAGAUAAUGACUGUACCGGGAGAAUAACGCCCCGGCUAACUCCGUGCCAGCAGCCGCGGUAAUACGGGAGGGGGCUAGCGUUGUUCGGAAUUACUGGGGCGUAAAGCGCACGUAGGCGGCUUUGUAAGUCAGAGGUGAAAGCCUGGAGCUCAACUCCAGAACUGCCUUUGAGACUGCAUCGCUUGAAUCCAGGAGAGGUGAGUGGAAUUCCGAGUGUAGAGUGAAAUUCGUAGAUAUUCGGAAGAACACCAGUGGCGAAGGCGGCUCACGUGGACUGGUAUUGACGCUGAGGUGCGAAAGCGU